This 81-nucleotide transfer RNA is filed under the name marine eukaryotic metagenome. It matches the Rfam family "tRNA". Rfam says of the family: Transfer RNA (tRNA) molecules are approximately 80 nucleotides in length. Their secondary structure includes four short double-helical elements and three loops (D, anti-codon, and T loops). Further hydrogen bonds mediate the characteristic L-shaped molecular structure. tRNAs have two regions of fundamental functional importance: the anti-codon, which is responsible for specific mRNA codon recognition, and the 3' end, to which the tRNAs corresponding amino acid is attached (by aminoacyl-tRNA synthetases). tRNAs cope with the degeneracy of the genetic code in two manners: having more than one tRNA (with a specific anti-codon) for a particular amino acid; and 'wobble' base-pairing, i.e. permitting non-standard base-pairing at the 3rd anti-codon position. The record is from RNAcentral.
GUGGGGUGGUCGAGUGGUUAAAGGCAUCGGAUUGUAACUCCGACGACGAAAGUCUACGUAGGUUCGAAUCCUACCCCCACC